Molecule: non-coding RNA, 1759 nt
Organism: Physcomitrium patens
Lineage: Eukaryota; Viridiplantae; Streptophyta; Bryopsida; Funariales; Funariaceae
Source: RefSeq, a predicted model, not a curated record
AAGUGAACAAUAUAUAUGGGCAAAUAACAGAGAAUGGGACCUGCCCAAAUGGAUGAAUUUAGUUUUUCAUCCAUUCAAAAUCCAUCGUCCUCCUCCAGUACAACCUCACUACGUGUCUUGUCCACUCCCCUCCUAUCCUGGUUCCAUAGCACUGGGCACCAAUCCCAACAUCACACUCAGAAUGGCUUAGCUCCGUUAGAUCUUCUUCAUCGGAACGAACGACCUAGAUUUUCCAGACUCUUCUUCUCGCCUUUCGUAUCAGUUUCAUGUCGGGCUCACGUGGCAAUUUUCGGUCUCAUUGACUUUGUUCAAACCUCCGACGACGAUGCAAUCGAAAUCUUCGAAUGGAUCAGGAUUCUCGAAGAGCGUGAUUCAAGGAUACUUGUAGUGCCCACCUUCACCAAGAUGCCUGCAAUGGCAAGCUCUAGAGAACAAUGGCUUCUGUAGAGAAAUAAAGACUAAAAAACCCAGAAAGAGAAACGAAAAAUAUAACAAAAUCAGUGCUGUUUAUGAUGAGAUUGGCUAUUCGACUUAAGGUUCAUAUAUAUAUAUUUUUUGUUCAAGUUGGAAAAUCUAGAUAGGAAUAAGAUCCACAGUAAAGUGACGUGGUGCUGGAAAGAUUUUAGUCUCAACAAUUUUUAUCUAUAUUAAGUUUUUUCCACCGAUCCUGGACCCUCUCAUCAAUCACAGUUGGGAAAGAGAAUAUUUUGUUCGGUUGUUACUGGAAAGGAGUAGAAGUGCAUCGGUGCCCAUUGAUAGUGAAUAAUAAUGUGAUAUGGACCCAGACUGAUGGGGAUUAGGGUGUAUGCGACUGCGAAUAGACUGGUACUGUUCGUUACUGUUCGUAUUCGACGCAUCCGAGAAAGCGUCGCUAACUCGUAGAUGGGUGUUGCAGUUGUGCCGCGUCGACGCAUUGUGAGUGCUGGUACAUUUUCCACCUUGGAGGAGAGAAGUGACGGUGGUGAAAUCAGAGCCUAGCAAGGGUUCGAGUCUGGAUCUUUCUACGCUGCUCUGAGGCUGGAAAGGGGUCGAUGACGCAGAAGAAGAAGAAGAAGGGCCGUAUCGAUUAUUCAGCACAACUCUGCACGAGGCUAAUAUUGAGGCGUACCGCGACGUCAACGAUUCCUGCACCCAGCGCGACUUUUCAAACCAGCCAUGUCCGCCUAAUUAUUUGUGCCUUCAGUCAAGCUCCAUGAUCGACCCUGGAGGUCGGACCAUGCGGAUUGAAUAUUUCGGACUCUAACAGCUGGGAGGGAUCCCAUCAGAUUGUACCGCGUGGUCCGUUCCUGAUGCAGCUGCGGCUCUUCGGGCAUCAAUACUUACACCACGAGGUCUAUUUCACAGGCUAUAUUACUUAACUUGGGGCCGUUCUUGCUACGUACGACAGCUGGUCCAUACAUUUAAAAUGCAUUCUGGACGUGGUUCUCGAGGUCCAAUGGUCAGGUGUGGUACCAGCACAGGCUCUCAUUAUUCCAUGACAGGAUAUUCCAUGCACUAGCCUUGGUCAUUGAUUCUAUGUUAGCCCGGGAUGUACACAUCACGGAUAUAUGACGGUCAGAGCACGUUCCGUGCUAUGUCGUCGAUUUUGGCCAGAUGAUCCCAUCACUCUCCUCGUCUGAUUCAAUGAAAGGAGGGGGAUCGGCAGUUGGUGUAAACUCAGCUGCACUAAGUGGACAAACUACCAAUCUGAAACCGACGCUUUGGGGUUAAGCAAUAUGAGGUUUGAUUUUGGGAAAGCAUAGGGUCUUGGAUGGUUCUU